UAAGUAAAGCAUCAAUAUUUUUAAAAAGCUCUCCUGGUGCUUCUAAAGUUCACCCAGGGAAGAGACCAACAGGCUCAGCUAUGGCUGCCGCGGAGGGACAGAAAGGGUGGGACACCCUGGGCAAAGGGGUGUUAGAUCCUCCACACACCUCCCUUCAAGGCCGUGCAAAUGCCUAGCACCAGGGGACAGGGGACCGGGGACUGUGGUGUAGACUCCGGGCAAGUGUACCUGGCUCUGAAGGAGAAGGGUGUCCCUGCAAAGCUUGGCCUCCUGGAGGCAGAGUGGGGGUCCCUGCUGCUCAGAUGCCCAGAGCGUCCCAGGGGAGGGAGCGCAGGAGCAGCCUGGGCCUCGUGCCUUUGCCGCCAUUCUUCCCGGUCGCGUCCCCACCACCGUCUUCGCCCGCUAGACCCUCCCUGCUCCCCAAGACUCCGCCUGCACGGUACCUCUUGUUCAGUCAACACGCAAAGACACAGCACCCACCGUGCGCCCGGCCCUGGUUUCUGGGAACGGGAAGACGAAGACAACUGGGGCCCACCUGAAGCUGCUCACAGACCAGGGGUGACACCAGGAAUCACACUCUCCUUAUAGUGGGCUCCCCCUUCUUCUCCACAGAGCAACCAGAGGGAUUGUAAAAGGCGCGUCUUCCUCCUCUCCUGCCGGUUCCCGAAUCUCUUCUUCGAGCAUGCUGCCGGCAAACGAAACAAGCGACCGCGCCAGUCUCCCAGUUGGUUCCCCACUGAUUCCUUCUGGAUGGAUGGAUGGAUGGACAAAAUUGAGUUAUGAGAGUGAGAACACUGAGGAUCAGAGCAUGGAACACGGUGAGCCCGUCAAGGAUCUAUGAGUGAUGAGAGUCAAAGAAACUGUCGGCUAGUGGACUUCAGAGCCCACUGGGCACACACCCUCGGCAGACACAUCUGAUCAAAGGGACAGUACCCAGCAGACAGGGACAGUGACGUGGAUCACGGAUCCAGCCUCCAGCAGACGAGCCCAUUACCUGCGCGGUCAGACCGCCCACACGCCAGGGGCCGUCCCCCACGUUGCUCCCGCCUACAGAGACAGGCCCAGGCCACACGUGCAUCUGGGGUUUUUUUGUUGUUGGUUUGGUGUUUGAAACUUUUAUUAUGAAAUAUGUGAAUGUGUACCUUGUAUAUAACCCUUUGAAAGAACAGUAAUAAAAUAGUCACGUACACAUCAUCCAGCUUAAGAAAUAGAAUGAUACCAGUAACUUCGAAGCUCCCUGAGUUUUCUUCCUUCGUUGUAUUUCCCUCCAUUCCCCCAGAAAUAACCACUAUUUGAAAAAUGUGUAUUAACCAUUUCCUUGUAAUGUGUGUA
Lemur catta (Ring-tailed lemur) is the source of this 1332-nucleotide long non-coding RNA. RefSeq lists it as uncharacterized. The record is from RefSeq and is a predicted model, not a curated record. Lineage: Eukaryota; Metazoa; Chordata; Mammalia; Primates; Lemuridae. The transcript is spliced from 5 exons.